UWUUUGCAUAUCAAUAAGCGGAGGAAAAGAAACCAACAGGGAWUUKSCCCUAGUAACGGCGAGUAGUAGUUUGGGAAUGCUGCUCUAAAUGGGAGGUGUACGUCUUCUAAAGCUAAAUACCGGCCAGAGACCGAUAGCGCACAAGUAGAGUGAUCGAAAGAUGAAAAGCACUUUGAAAAGAGGGUUAAAAAGUACGUGAAAUUGUUGAAAGGGAAGCGUUUAUGACCAGACUUGGGCUUGGUUGAACAUCCGGCGUUCUCGCGGACCGAGGAACGCGCUUCGGCUCGGACGCUGGCGUAAUGGUCGUAAGCGGCCCGCCUUGAAACACGGACCCAA
This 336-nucleotide ribosomal RNA is filed under the name Cephalosporium caerulens. RNAcentral's name for it is "partial 28S ribosomal RNA". It matches the Rfam family "Eukaryotic large subunit ribosomal RNA", at positions 33 to 670 of the family's 3401-position model. The record is from RNAcentral. Lineage: Eukaryota; Fungi; Ascomycota; Sordariomycetes; Hypocreales.